UACGAAGGGGGCUAGCGUUGCUCGGAAUUACUGGGCGUAAAGGGAGCGUAGGCGGACAUUUAAGUCAGGGGUGAAAUCCCAGAGCUCAACUCUGGAACUGCCUUUGAUACUGGGUGUCUUGAGUGUGAUAGAGGUAAGUGGAACUCCGAGUGUAGAGGUGAAAUUCGUAGAUAUUCGGAAGAACACCAGUGGCGAAGGCGACUUACUGGAUCAUUACUGACGCUGAGGCUCGAAAGCGUGGGGAGCAAACAGG
RNAcentral lists this ribosomal RNA (253 nucleotides) under uncultured bacterium. Its description in RNAcentral is "partial 16S ribosomal RNA". It matches the Rfam family "Bacterial small subunit ribosomal RNA", at positions 524 to 776 of the family's 1533-position model. The record is from RNAcentral.